This 389-nucleotide ribosomal RNA is filed under the name uncultured Sphingobacteriales bacterium. RNAcentral describes it as "bacterial SSU rRNA". It matches the Rfam family "Bacterial small subunit ribosomal RNA", at positions 990 to 1382 of the family's 1533-position model. The record is from RNAcentral. Lineage: Bacteria; Pseudomonadati; Bacteroidota; Sphingobacteriia; Sphingobacteriales.
GUUGACGUAUUCUGAAAGGGAUACUUCUUCGGACAAUAUACAAGGUGCUGCAUGGUUGUCGUCAGCUCGUGCCGUGAGGUGUCGGGUAAGUCCCAUAACGAGCGCAACCCUAUCAUUAGUUGCCAUCAGGUCAAGCUGGGGACUCUAAUGAAACUGCCUACGCAAGUAGUGAGGAAGGUGGGGAUGACGUCAAAUCAGCACGGCCCUUACGGUCCAGGGCUACACACGUGCUACAAUGGCCGGUACAAAGGGCAGCUACCUGGUGACAGGAUGCUAACCUCAAAAGACCGGUCUCAGUUCGGAUCGGAGUCUGCAACCCGACUCCGUGAAGCUGGAAUCGCUAGUAAUCGCGCAUCAGCCAUGGCGCGGUGAAUACGUUCCCGGGCCUU